This 484-nucleotide ribosomal RNA is filed under the name uncultured bacterium. RNAcentral describes it as "partial 16S ribosomal RNA". It matches the Rfam family "Bacterial small subunit ribosomal RNA", at positions 30 to 507 of the family's 1533-position model. The record is from RNAcentral.
AUUGAACGCUAGCGGGAUGCUUUACACAUGCAAGUCGAACGGCAGCGCGGACUUCGGUCUGGCGGCGAGUGGCGAACGGGUGAGUAAUGUAUCGGAACGUGCCCAGUAGCGGGGGAUAACUACGCGAAAGCGUAGCUAAUACCGCAUACGCCCUACGGGGGAAAGCAGGGGAUCGUAAGACCUUGCACUAUUGGAGCGGCCGAUAUCGGCUUAGCUAGUUGGUGAGGUAACGGCUCACCAAGGCGACGAUCCGUAGCUGGUUUGAGAGGACGACCAGCCACACUGGGACUGAGACACGGCCCAGACUCCUACGGGAGGCAGCAGUGGGGAAUUUUGGACAAUGGGGGCAACCCUGAUCCAGCCAUCCCGCGUGUGCGAUGAAGGCCUUCGGGUUGUAAAGCACUUUUGGCAGGAAAGAAACGUCGCGGGCUAAUACCCCGUGGAACUGACGGUACCUGCAGAAUAAGCACCGGCUAACUACGUG